Molecule: non-coding RNA, 80 nt
Organism: Podarcis lilfordi (Lilford's wall lizard)
Lineage: Eukaryota; Metazoa; Chordata; Lepidosauria; Squamata; Lacertidae
Source: the annotation of a GenBank genome assembly
UCCAAGUGGAUAGCUCAAUUGGUGAGAGAGUGGUGCUGGUAACGCCAAGGUUGCAGGUUCAAUCCACGUAUGGGGCAGAA